UACGGGGGGGCAAGCGUUGUUCGGAAUUACUGGGCGUAAAGGGUCUGUAGGUGGCUUGCUAAGUCAGACGUGAAAUCCCUCAGCUUAACUGGGGAACUGCGUCUGAGACUGGCGAGCUUGAGGGCAGGAGAGGAACGCGGAAUUCCAGGUGUAGCGGUGAAAUGCGCAGAUAUCAGGAGGAACACCGGUGGCGAAGGCGGUUCUCUGGGCAUGUCCUGACGCUGAGGAGCGAAAGUGUGGGGAGCGAACAGG
RNAcentral lists this ribosomal RNA (252 nucleotides) under uncultured bacterium. RNAcentral's name for it is "partial 16S ribosomal RNA". It matches the Rfam family "Bacterial small subunit ribosomal RNA", at positions 524 to 776 of the family's 1533-position model. The record is from RNAcentral.